UGCCAAGCAUCUCCUAUCCCUAUCUCCUCGUGGUACUGGCCGGGGUACGAGUAACCUCAAGGAAGAUCGUGCAACCAACCCCGGUGGGAACUUUGGUCGUAUGCUGACAGGGAAGA
RNAcentral lists this ribozyme (116 nucleotides) under Aedes aegypti (yellow fever mosquito). RNAcentral's name for it is "drz-agam-1 ribozyme". It matches the Rfam family "drz-agam-1 ribozyme". Lineage: Eukaryota; Metazoa; Arthropoda; Insecta; Diptera; Culicidae. The record is from Rfam by way of RNAcentral.